RNAcentral lists this unclassified non-coding RNA (234 nucleotides) under Hevea brasiliensis (rubber tree). Lineage: Eukaryota; Viridiplantae; Streptophyta; Magnoliopsida; Malpighiales; Euphorbiaceae. The record is from RNAcentral.
GUGGAUCCUACAUGGGGAAAACAAAAAAACAACAUAAAAAUACAGGAAACAAGCCACCAGAUCAAAUAUAGCAAGCCAAAAUAAACCAUGGUGGAUGAACCAUAUGCCAAGCAGUCAAAUAGAAUUUAUUUCAGGGUUCAUUUAGAUAGGUGUCCAUUUGGAAUGAAGGUGGAUUUAGAUUUGUGUUUCAAAUGUAAAAUCAUUAAAAACCAACAUAAUGUCAAAUUAAAAUAC